This 363-nucleotide ribosomal RNA is filed under the name uncultured bacterium. RNAcentral describes it as "bacterial SSU rRNA". It matches the Rfam family "Bacterial small subunit ribosomal RNA", at positions 441 to 793 of the family's 1533-position model. The record is from RNAcentral.
AAAGAAGUAACACGUAUGAGAGUAACUGUUCAUACGUUGACGGUAUUUAACCAGAAAGUCACGGCUAACUACGUGCCAGCAGCCGCGGUAAUACGUAGGUGGCAAGCGUUAUCCGGAUUUAUUGGGCGUAAAGAGAGUGCAGACGGUUUUCUAAGUCUGAUGUGAAAGACCUUCGGCUUAACCGGAGAAGUGCAUCGGAAACUGGAUAACUUGAGUGCAGAAGAGGGUAGUGGAACUCCCAUGUGUAGCGGUGGAAUGCGUAGAUAUAUGGAAGAACACCAGUGGCGAAGGCGGCUACCUGGUCUGCAACUGACGCUGAGACUCGAAAGCAUGGGUAGCGAACAGGAUUAGAUACCCUGGUAG